UGGGGAAUAUUGCACAAUGGGCGCAAGCCUGAUGCAGCCAUGCCGCGUGUAUGAAGAAGGCCUUCGGGUUGUAAAGUACUUUCAGCGGUGAGGAAGGGAGUAAAGUUAAUACCUUUGCUCAUUGACGUUACCCGCAGAAGAAGCACCGGCUAACUCCGUGCCAGCAGCCGCGGUAAUACGGAGGGUGCAAGCGUUAAUCGGAAUUACUGGGCGUAAAGCGCACGCAGGCGGUUUGUUAAGUCAGAUGUGAAAUGCCCGGGCUCAACCUGGGAACUGCAGCGGAUAAUAGCAAGAUUGAGGCUCGUAGAGGGGGGUAGAAUUACAGGUGUAGCGGUGAAAUGCGUAGAGGUGUGGAGGAAUACCGGUGGCGGAGGAGGCCCCCUGGAGGAAGACUGACGCUCAGGUGCGAAGGCGUGGGGAGCAAACAGG
Molecule: ribosomal RNA, 429 nt
Filed under: Chloroflexota bacterium
Lineage: Bacteria; Bacillati; Chloroflexota
Description: Chloroflexi bacterium partial 16S ribosomal RNA
Rfam family: Bacterial small subunit ribosomal RNA
Source: RNAcentral